RNAcentral lists this transfer RNA (75 nucleotides) under Xanthocytophaga flava. RNAcentral's name for it is "tRNA-Pro". It matches the Rfam family "tRNA". From Rfam's summary of the family: Transfer RNA (tRNA) molecules are approximately 80 nucleotides in length. Lineage: Bacteria; Pseudomonadati; Bacteroidota; Cytophagia; Cytophagales; Rhodocytophagaceae. The record is from RNAcentral.
CGGGGUGUAGCGUAGUCAGGUUAGCGCGCCACAUUUGGGAUGUGGAGGUCGCAGGUUCGAAUCCUGCCACCCCGA